RNAcentral lists this ribosomal RNA (253 nucleotides) under uncultured bacterium. Its description in RNAcentral is "partial 16S ribosomal RNA". It matches the Rfam family "Bacterial small subunit ribosomal RNA", at positions 524 to 776 of the family's 1533-position model. The record is from RNAcentral.
UACGGAGGGUGCGAGCGUGGUCCGGAAUCACUGGGCGUAAAGGGCGCGUAGGUGGCGCGGUCAGUCAACGGUGAAAGUUCGGGGCUCAACCCUGAAUCGGCCGUCGAUACUCCCGUGCUGGAGCACUGUAGAGGCUAAUGGAAUUCCGGGUGUAGCGGUGGAAUGCGUAGAGAUCCGGAAGAACACCGGUGGCGAAGGCGGUUAGCUGGGCAGUUGCUGACACUGAGGCGCGACAGCGUGGGGAGCAAACAGG